GUUUGCAUCCUGAUCCUGAAUCUGUUUCCUUCAGUAGAAGUUCUAGUCACUCGAGUUCUGGGUUUGGCCGAUAUGUAAGCAGACGCAGAAGAGGUUUGGAUUUGGAAGUUGAGAAUGGGACCGAAAGGUGGUGAUUCGAAAUUGAAAAGCACAAUGGUACUCAAAGGUUCGAUUUUUAUUUUUUCAUCAAUGUAUAUAGAAUUUAAUUAAAUAGGCAAGAAUUUGGUAUUGAAUUCUAGUUCUAUUCCUGAUCAAGGCUUGCAAAGACCAAAGAGAAUCUUUUUAAUUUUAAUCAGAUGGGGACACAAGCAGAAAAUUUGGUUGUCCCUUCAUAUGGCAAAAUUUUGUUGUGGUUCUGGAGAGAUGGGAAAGACCUAAAAAUUGCAAAGUUUGUUUGAAUUAGGAAAAUUUGCAAAUGUAGAAAUGGCACGUUGAUAUUUGUAAGCUUAAUUGUUUUUCUUUUUCUUUCUUUGGCAUUCAUUCUAUGAAUUCCCUCCCCUUCCCCCACGGGAUACACACAAAGACGCACACUUUUAUGUUAUUGGAAUAUGCUGGAUUGAAAGGUUAUUUAAGUUUAGCUUGUCUAGCGAUUAUUUCUUGCCUUUUACUGGCUGAUGCGGAUAAUGACUCUUUAAAGUUGGAGUUAUUAGGCCUGGCUAAUGCAAAUGGAUUAAUCAUAUUUGCGGCCUAAUCAUGUUACUGCCUGCUGGUAGUUCAAUGUUUAUAAUGGCAUGUCUGAUCCUUUUCUUGACAAAACGACGUGCUGCUGGAAUUGUGGCUCAAAAAGCACCAAUUUCAUCAUGUGCCUACUUUUGAGAGCUCUUUUGCCUUUUUCUUUGCUUGUUGUUGGUGGCUUUGGAUCUGUAAUUGAAGCAGUGAAACCCAUUAACCCAAUGAGCAUCUGUCUCUUUUUUAUUAGGAAUUGCAAUAAAACAGCUGGGAUAUGCACUUGUAUGAAUUGGGUGAUCAUGUAUGCAUGCGCAGAAACUGGUUAAAAUAUUAAUGGAUUACGGGUGGUUUACCCAGUCUUCCCACGAGUGGAAAUAGCGCAUCGUUCCACAUUGUGUUGUGUUAAAAUCGUUUGACCUGUCCAUUCAAACAAAGCCAGCUUGGGUUUUGAUUUUUCAAGCCAUAUCUGGACGUGAGGUUGAUGUAUAUCUAUACUAGCUAUAUGUCUGCAUUAUUAAAAGCUUUUGCUCUUUGACUCAGCAUACCCUUCCAUUCUGUUAUAAUGAAAAUUUUAUAAUGUCAUAAUGUAUCAACAAUUAAAUGGGAAGUUGAUA
This 1283-nucleotide unclassified non-coding RNA is filed under the name Hevea brasiliensis (rubber tree). Lineage: Eukaryota; Viridiplantae; Streptophyta; Magnoliopsida; Malpighiales; Euphorbiaceae. The record is from RNAcentral.